UACGAAGGGGGCUAGCGUUGCUCGGAAUCACUGGGCGCAAAGGGUGCGUAGGCGGGUCUUUAAGUCAGGGGUGAAAUCCUGGAGCUCAACUCCAGAACUGCCUUUGAUACUGAAGAUCUUGAGUUCGGGAGAGGUGAGUGGAACUGCGAGUGUAGAGGUGAAAUUCGUAGAUAUUCGCAAGAACACCAGUGGCGAAGGCGGCUCACUGGCCCGAUACUGACGCUGAGGCACGAAAGCCAGGGGAGCGAACGGG
Molecule: ribosomal RNA, 253 nt
Filed under: uncultured bacterium
Lineage: Bacteria
Description: partial 16S ribosomal RNA
Rfam family: Bacterial small subunit ribosomal RNA
Source: RNAcentral